Molecule: long non-coding RNA, 672 nt
Organism: Ruditapes philippinarum (Manila clam)
Lineage: Eukaryota; Metazoa; Mollusca; Bivalvia; Venerida; Veneridae
Exons: 4
Source: RefSeq, a predicted model, not a curated record
UUAAUUUCGCUUGCACAGGCCCUUGCACAGGUAGACAAAAAUGAAUUUAUUUCGCGAUCUUAUUAAGUGUAUGCGGAUUGUAAAUAUAAAAGCCAAAAUAUUGCUUUGACAUGUAAACGGUUUGUAUAAUUUAUUUCAGUCGAGAUAUUUUUUCAAGUUGUGAAUAGGAAUUCGUUUCUUAGAAGAAAGUAAAGAUGGACAGAAAAGUAUUGGCAGCUUUUUUAUUUCUUGGACUCCGGGUUGCAAAUUUGAAUUGCGAAUGCCAACAAAAUUGUGAUAUUGGUCCACCAGGCCUACGAUCUGUUGAUUUGCGUGCAACAAAUCACAUCAAUAAAAUCAUCAAACGUGAAGAUGGACUCAUAAACAAGGAUAUGAAAAAAAAGAAACGAUUAAGAGAAAAGUUAUAGAUCCAUGUGAACCUCUUCUUUCUUAAAUGAUUUUAUUAUAGCUAAAUAAUGCCUUUGACGUAUACAAUCGUGAAAACAACGGAUUACGUAACACUAAAGACCAUUGCUAAAUAAAUAUAUAUAAAUAUUUCGCUUGUUUAUUUGGUAAAUCUAGUAUCUAAUAUAUUAUUAAAUAAAAAAUAUACACUUCAACCUUUUUUGUACAUUUGCGUCGAUAUCACUGAAUGAAUACCACUGAAUAAAUAUGACCACAAGGAUAAUGAAA